Molecule: long non-coding RNA, 4529 nt
Filed under: Macaca mulatta (Rhesus monkey)
Lineage: Eukaryota; Metazoa; Chordata; Mammalia; Primates; Cercopithecidae
Description: lncRNA (ENSMMUG00000060374.1)
Source: RNAcentral
GAGACUGUUUAAAAAAAAAAAGAUAGCAGAUGGAAAUUUACAUGUAUACAAAGAAAAAAGUGUGAUAGAACAAAUAAAAAUACAGUUAAAUAAAGUAGACACUUUUCUUAUCUUUAAAAGAGAACCAAAUAACAAAGCAAACACACUAACAGUGUGUUGUGAGGCUUAUAACAUACACAGAAAAGAAAUGACAGUAAUAGCACGAAGUAAUACAACAUUAUUUGCAUGUAUAUAUGUGUGUGUGUGUGUUCAUAUUGAUUUUAUAUUGAUGCUGAUAUUUAUAUGUUGUGGUCAAACAAAUAGUUCUGCCGUCUGGAGCAGCUUGUUAUUGUUCAUGUGAAUAUAAUUUAACUGGUUUUGUUUCUAGAAUUUUUACUUGACAUGUUGAAAGUCAAUGAAUCUAAUGAAAAAUAAAAAGGAAAAAAACCUUGCAAUGAGGAAACAUAAUUGUUUUCAGCAAACCACAUGUGCCACCUCAGAUGUAGGUUUUAUAUGGUAUUGUCUUGAAAGAGCGUAUAAUUGGCAUGAUUUUUAAAAGUAAAUCAUUAGGAGAAAACCUAAAACAACUAAUUAACAUUCAUCAAAUACAUAAGAAGAAAUGUGAUUUUGACCACAUCAAAUGGCCAAUCUUCAUGCGCUGAACAUUCGAAAAACAGAUCCUGAUUCAAAGGGAUUCUUUUCUCCCCCAAACAAGUGCUAACGUUCUGGAAGGGCUAGAUGGGUCCGGAAAGGACACCUGGAAGCAGUUAGGGCAGGACUUCCCAGUAUUCAGUAGGAAGCAAAUGCUAUGCCAGGGACUUGGCUUUCCGAAGGACUCAGGAAACAGGGUCAAAACUAGGUAAAUGGUUUGUAAGGUCAUAACUUGGAAGAUUCACUUUUAAAAUUAUCUUAAAGCCAUUAACAACAAAGUUUGGGUUUUUGACUGGAUUUCAUUCAAUCAAGUAGCCUAGCUGUCCCAGUUGCUGAAUAGACACAAAAUAAGCCAAUGUGCAAUCAUGCAAUUAAGUACAAUAUAGUGAAUCCAGGAAAUGUUCUAUCUUUAAAAUGUUCUAUCUUUUUCAUCAUAAAGCAUUUUCAUUUAUUCGUUAAUUUAUUUGUUCGUUACUGAAGCAGUGAUCGGGUCCAUUAGAUGCUCCACAGAUUAAAUCUUUUAGUAAUUGUUCAGUAGCUACUAUGAACUCCUGACAGAUAGUAUAUUUUAUUAUAUUGCCUUUUUAACUUAAGUUUGUGCCCAAGAGUUGAACAGACCAAAUAUUUUAGGAUUAUAUAUUUAUGAAGCCAUAACGCGAAAGGCGUAGAUAGAUGCUGGGGUGGUGAUUAAUGAGAAACUAGUUGGAAGUGACAAUAUAUUGGUGAAUCAAAAGUAGGCAGGUAAAUAGACUGAAAAUUCAUAUGCUGCUGUAUUAUCUCCACAGGAGUAUGCAAUUAAAAUCAACUAAAUAUCAAUCAUAAAGAGCUCAGUUAAAAUAACCAGAUUUCAGUGAACAUACAGAAUAUGCAAAUCUUUGCAAUAAAGUUAACAUGGCAUACAUUAUCCUGAGCAGACUAAUGCAGGAAAAGAAAACCAAACACUGCAUGUUCUCACUAAUGAGUGGGAACUAAACAUUGAGUACACAAGGACACAAAGACGGGAACGGCGGACAGUGAGGCCUACUUAAGAGUGGAGGGUGGGAGGAUCAAAAAACUACCUAUUGGGUACUACCUGUAUUACCUGGGUGUUGAAGUACUCUGUACACCAAACCCCCAAGACAUGCAAUUUACCUAUAUAAAAAACCUGCACGUGUAUUCCUAAACUUAAACUCAAAGGUUUUUUUAUUUAAAGUGAAUGUGGCGUAAACAUUCACCAAAAUUCCACUUUAGAGCAUAUCAUUUAUAUUAGCCAUUUGAAAAAAAAACUGCUAUUAUUUACUAAACCAAUUAUUUAAAAUAUAUCAAAAUUAGAGCCUGGAAAUAAGCCUUUUAAGACAAAUGCAAUUAAACAGGUUACUAUAUUCAAGUGGUCAACAAUUUCUGUAUGAUUUUUCAUGUACUGCUAACAGCUAUUUUUGACCUUUCCUUAUUAAUGUAAUGUUAAAAAUCUCAGUCAAUACGUUUAUAAAUAGUUAAACAUGUAAAAUUGUACACACUCUCUCAGGUUAAUAAUCUUUGUCCUUCACUUCUUAUUUGAGACAUGAAAUUAGCAAAUUUCAGUCAUCUUCUUGAAGUUUUAAAUUUAGCUUUAAAUUUUAUAUGGUGCAAUUAAAACACCUUCUAACUUUAGAAGAAAGUUCAAUGGAGAAGAGAUCAUCUUCCACUUGCCUCACCUGAAGGAAAGAAAUCAAAUUUCUCCAAAUUUAUAAAACAUUUACAGCUGAAGUCUCUUAUUACUAUUUCUUUUUAUCACAUUAGUCCUAUUGAUUAAAGAAAAAAAAGUGUCACACUGCUAUGUCCUUAAGGAGACAUAUAGGAAGACUAAGAUUUUUUAAAAUGAUGAACUAAAGGUAAACCAAGCAAUAUUUUAAAGCUUAUCAAUGAUACAGAAAUCUUGUUCCUGCAUGGUUGACUAUGCUUCUUUGAAAAUCUUGCCUUUGCACUUUGUGAUAAAGUGAUUUAAAUAUCUGGCUCUCAGCUCAUUUAUCUGAUUCUCUGCUAUAGUGGCUUUGGUGGCUGAAGAUGGCAAGACUCACAUUACAUAGCUACAAAUGGAAGAAACUCUAUUGGCUGCGAGCACCCUAAAUCACAACACUUAUUCUUCAAUCCCAUCCACCAAUUUUAUCAGCAUUUUAGAAAUUUACGUACAAAGUUUUCAUUUCCUUAUUUCAAUCAAGAUUUUGCAGUGUUCUGUUUCUUUGCAAACUAAUUAGAAAGUUUUGCACUUUAAUUUUUGGACAUUAAAUUGGAUAUUUUAGAGAAUUUUCUUUCCAACUGUUUAAAGAGUAGAGAUAUGAAGGUUUUUGUAUUAUUUUAGUAACAAAAUCAUAUAAUGAUUGAAAUAAUCACGAACAUCUAUUUUCAUCCUUUUCUGCACCAAGUGUUUCUUUUGAAAUCCUUCCUCCCUUCCUUCCUUCCCACCUUCUUUCCUCCCUCCCUCCUUUCCUUCCUUCCUUUUUUAAGUCACUUUUUUUUUACUUAUUUUUGAGAUUUGCUUUUCUAGGAGAUAGCUUCCUACCAACCACCCAACAAAAACCCUGCUAGGUAGCUUUCCACUGACAUAGAAUGAGUUUUUGUUAUAGAAAAGGUCAGAAUUUCUAAAACAUGUUGCCUUUUAUUAAUGAGAAAUAAUGCACUACCUAUUUGUACAUUAGACAACUUUUCUAAGAGCUUUACCAUGAGAUAGCAGUAAACCUCCGUGUGGUACAAAAUAUUUUCAUGUUAACUCAGAAUCUCAUUACAAAAUAUUGUAAGUAUUUCCAUUCAAAAUUCUUAGUGAGGUCAGGCAUGGUAGCUCAUGACUAUAAUCCCAGCACUUUGGGAGGCCAAGGCGGUGGAUCACUUGAGAUUGGGAGCUCGAGACCAGCCAGGCCAAUAUGGUGAAACCCUGUCUCUACUAAAAAUACAAAAAUUAGCCGGGCAUGGUGGCGUACGCCUGUAGUCCCAGCUACUCAGGAGGCUGAGGAAGGAGAAUCACUUGAACCUGAGAGGCAGAAGUUGCAGUGAGCCGAGACCACGCCAUUGCACUCCAGCUUGGCCAACAGACGGAGACUCCGUCUCAAAAAAAAAAAAAAAAAAAUUAGUGAAAGAGCCAGUGGCUGACAGCCUAGGCAGAUGGCAUGCCACCUGUCAUGGACUGGAAGGGAACAGGGAGAAAAGGUGCCUCCUGCUGUGUGGGAGUCCCCAUGGGCUCACGGCAUUUGAUGUGUGAUUUGAGACUUCUUGACAUACAGACCAACUGAGGGUGAUGGGCCAGCCUAUGAGUUAAAAAUUAGGGAAUCUUCAGUAUUUCUUAUUUUUAACAUAAGAAUAACAACAAGGCAAAGUACUGCUAUUGCCUUCCUGUCCUAAGGCAGCGGGUGCACGCACACCACGUUGGAAACCUCCCUGGCUUUCCCAGUCAUGCCCUGUGGUUCUAUCCUCCAGUCUCCAACCUACUUUCCGCCUGGGAAGAGGCAAAGCUAUAGCUGCAUUGAAUGAUGUCACAUCAACAUGUGCCAGUGAUACCCUAAAAAGCUCUAGCUAAGUCUGUGUUCUCCCUAGAACACCCUCUACCGACCCAGGGUUAGGGAAAGCUUUGAUGAUGUUCCAUGAACUUUGCUGGCAGGGCUUACCUAGGAGUAAAGGCUCUCUGAGUACAGGGAGGGGCAUGAGGAGUUUCUUCAACCUUUCUCAGUACACAGGACUGGGACUCAGACAGCCCAGGCCUGAGCCUGUGACGAUGAAUAUGACACGCUGAACUCACCUCCCAGCAACACAGGCAUCCCCGACUUCUCAGGACCACGGUCCCAGGUGCCAGAGAUUUGAGUCAGCUCUCCUGUCUGCCCUCUCAUCGCAAUGUCCAGUGUUGUCUUCCAUCUUCACAUCUCAACGCGUUACUUUCUAUUCCCAAUUUGUUU